RNAcentral lists this long non-coding RNA (284 nucleotides) under Eucalyptus grandis. RNAcentral's name for it is "long non-coding RNA (EGRA_LNC007699)". Lineage: Eukaryota; Viridiplantae; Streptophyta; Magnoliopsida; Myrtales; Myrtaceae. The record is from RNAcentral.
UUAUUGAGUAUUUGAUUGGUAAUGGCUAAGCAUGGGUAUAUAGCGCCAGUACGUUGAUGGGCUAUAUAGUAGGGAGAAUGGUGAGACCAAUCAGGUACGAUAUUCUUGGACAUACGUGGUUCGGUGAUUGGAAGUAUCACUGGCGAAAACGGCGCCUUAAAGAACGCACGUAAAUGACUUAUAGACACACGUGGUUCGGUGGUUAUGGGAAUAUCACUGGUGAAAACGGCGCCUUAAAGAACGCACGAUGUUGUCUAUAGCCGAUGUCACCUUGGCGAAAACGG